GACGAACGCUGGCGGCGUGCUUAACACAUGCAAGUCGAGCGGUAAGGCCCUUUCGGGGGUACACGAGCGGCGAACGGGUGAGUAACACGUGAGCAACCUGCCCUUCUCUUUGGAAUAAGCGUUGGAAACGACGUCUAAUGCCGAAUAUGACCCCCUGUCGCAUGGUGGGGGGUGGAAAGCUCUGGCGGAGAAGGAUGGGCUCGCGGCCUAUCAGCUUGUUGGUGUGGGUAAUGGCCCACCAAGGCGACGACGUGUAGCCGGCCGGAGAGGGUGACCGGCCACACUGGGACUGAGACACGGCCCAGACUCCUACGGGAGGCAGCAGUGGGGAAUAUUGGACAAUGGGCGAAAGCCUGAUCCAGCAACGCCGCGUGGGGGAUGACGGCCUUCGGGUUGUAAACCUCUUUCAGCAGGGACGAAGCGAGAGUGACGGUACCUGCAGAAGAAGGACCGGCCAACUACGUGCCAGCAGCCGCAGUAA
This 481-nucleotide ribosomal RNA is filed under the name uncultured bacterium. RNAcentral describes it as "partial 16S ribosomal RNA". It matches the Rfam family "Bacterial small subunit ribosomal RNA", at positions 28 to 523 of the family's 1533-position model. The record is from RNAcentral.